UACGUAGGGUGCAGGCGUUACUCGGAAUUACUGGGCGUAAAGCGUGCGCAGGCGGUCUGUUAAGAGAGAUGUGAAAUCCCCGGGCUUAACCUGGGAACUGCGUUUCUAACUGGCAGGCUUGAGUGUGGCAGAGGGGGGUGGAAUUCCACGUGUAGCAGUGAAAUGCGUAGAGAUGUGGAGGAACACCGAUGGCGAAGGCAGCCCCCUGGGCUAACACUGACGCUCAUGCACGAAAGCGUGGGGAGCAAACAGG
Molecule: ribosomal RNA, 253 nt
Filed under: uncultured bacterium
Lineage: Bacteria
Description: partial 16S ribosomal RNA
Rfam family: Bacterial small subunit ribosomal RNA
Source: RNAcentral